UACGUAGGGUGCAAGCGUUAAUCGGAAUUACUGGGCGUAAAGCGUGCGCAGGCGGUUAUGCAAGGCAGAUGUGAAAUCCCCGGGCUCAACCUGGGAACUGCAUUUGUGACUGCAUGGCUAGAGUACGGUAGAGGGGAAUGGAAUUCCGCGUGUAGCAGUGAAAUGCGUAGAUAUGCGGAGGAACACCGAUGGCGAAGGCAAUCCCCUGGACCUGUACUGACGCUCAUGCACGAAAGCGUGGGGAGCAAACAGG
Molecule: ribosomal RNA, 253 nt
Filed under: uncultured bacterium
Lineage: Bacteria
Description: partial 16S ribosomal RNA
Rfam family: Bacterial small subunit ribosomal RNA
Source: RNAcentral